ACUCCUACGGGAGGCAGCAGUGGGGAAUAUUGCACAAUGGGCGCAAGCCUGAUGCAGCCAUGCCGCGUGUAUGAAGAAGGCCUUCGGGUUGUAAAGUACUUUCAGCAGUGAGGAAGGCGGAGUCGUUAAUAGCGGCCUCGUUUGACGUUAGCUGCAGAAGAAAGCACCGGCUAACUCCGUGCCAGCAGCCGCGGUAAUACGGAGGGUGCGAGCGUUAAUCGGAAUUACUGGGCGUAAAGCGCAUGCAGGUGGUUCGUUAAGUCAGAUGUGAAAGCCCGGGGCUCAACCUCGGAAUUGCAUUUGAAACUGGCAGACUAGAGUACUGUAGAGGGGGGUAGAAUUUCAGGUGUAGCGGUGAAAUGCGUAGAGAUCUGAAGGAAUACCGGUGGCGAAGGCGGCCCCCUGGACAGAUACUGACACUCAGAUGCGAAAGCUGGGGAGCAAACAGGAUUAGAUA
RNAcentral lists this ribosomal RNA (457 nucleotides) under uncultured bacterium. Its description in RNAcentral is "bacterial SSU rRNA". It matches the Rfam family "Bacterial small subunit ribosomal RNA", at positions 335 to 784 of the family's 1533-position model. The record is from RNAcentral.